Molecule: ribosomal RNA, 403 nt
Filed under: Verrucomicrobiota bacterium
Lineage: Bacteria; Pseudomonadati; Verrucomicrobiota
Description: Verrucomicrobia bacterium partial 16S ribosomal RNA
Rfam family: Bacterial small subunit ribosomal RNA
Source: RNAcentral
UAGGGAAUCUUCGGCAAUGGGGGGAACCCUGACCGAGCAACGCCGCGUGAGCGAAGAAGGCCUUCGGGUCGUAAAGCUCUUUUAUGAGGGAAGAUAAUGACGGUACCCUGUGAGGAAGCCCCGGCUAACUACGUGCCAGCAGCCGCGGUAAUACGUAGGGGGCUAGCGUUAUCCGGAUUUACUGGGCGUAAAGGGUGCGUAGGUGGUCUUUCAAGUCGGUGGUUAAAGGCUACGGCUCAACCGUAGUUAGCCUCCGAAACUGGAAGACUUGAGUGCAGGAGAGGAAAGUGGAAUUCCCAGUGUAGCGGUGAAAUGCGUAGAUAUUGGGAGGAACACCAGUAGCGAAGGCGGCUUUCUGGACUGCAACUGACACUGAGGCACGAAAGCGUGGGUAGCAAACAGG